RNAcentral lists this small nucleolar RNA (134 nucleotides) under Jaculus jaculus (lesser Egyptian jerboa). RNAcentral describes it as "Small nucleolar RNA SNORA67 (ENSJJAG00000006001.1)". The record is from RNAcentral. Lineage: Eukaryota; Metazoa; Chordata; Mammalia; Rodentia; Dipodidae.
AUCACGAUUCGCACUCCAAAGAGCCACUAGUGCCCUUCCCAAGAAUGCAGUAACGUGGAAGGAAAGCAAGCAGGACCAAGGGACCUGGGGAGAUGGGACAGUAUUCCUUUGCCUUACUUUGGCUGCCAGUGUAC